UACGUAGGGCGCAAGCGUUAUCCGGAAUUAUUGGGCGUAAAGAGCUCGUAGGCGGUUUGUCGCGUCUGCCGUGAAAGUCCGGGGCUCAACUCCGGAUCUGCGGUGGGUACGGGCAGACUAGAGUGAUGUAGGGGAGACUGGAAUUCCUGGUGUAGCGGUGAAAUGCGCAGAUAUCAGGAGGAACACCGGUGGCGAAGGCGGGUCUCUGGGCAACAACUGACGCUGGAGGAGCGAAAGCGUGGGGAGCGAACAGG
RNAcentral lists this ribosomal RNA (254 nucleotides) under uncultured bacterium. RNAcentral describes it as "partial 16S ribosomal RNA". It matches the Rfam family "Bacterial small subunit ribosomal RNA", at positions 524 to 776 of the family's 1533-position model. The record is from RNAcentral.